This 714-nucleotide ribosomal RNA is filed under the name Triticum aestivum (bread wheat). RNAcentral's name for it is "partial small subunit ribosomal RNA". Lineage: Eukaryota; Viridiplantae; Streptophyta; Magnoliopsida; Poales; Poaceae. The record is from RNAcentral.
AUGAAACAACUUGUGACAGAUUUCUAUAAAACUUUGAACACGACAGAAGGUGUACAGGGGGUAGAUGACGUAUUACAGCAUGUGCCUCGGAAAGUAACACCAGAGAUGAAUGCUUCGCUUGGCGCCCCUUACACAAGUGAGGAGGUAAAGCAGGCCCUGUUUCAGAUGUUUCCCACGAAGGCACCGGGCCCAGAUGGUUUUCCUGCUCACUUCUAUCAGCGCCACUGGGACAUUUUUGGGGAUGAAAUAACUAAAGUCGUGCUUCGGAUUGUCCGUGGAGAGGAGACUGCUGCAAGUGUUAAUGAUACGGUACUCGUGUUUAUACCCAAGAUACAAAACUCCACUCUCCUUACCCAGUUUAGGCCUAUCAGCCUAUGCAAUGUGAUUUAUAAAAUUGCUUCUAAAGUGGUGGCGAAUAGAUUGAAGGUGAUAUUGCCAGAUAUUAUCUCGAAGGAGCAAUCAGCCUUUGUCCCCGGGAGGUUAAUCACGGAUAAUAUUAUAUGUGCGUAUGAAUGUUUGCACUUCAUGAAGAGAAACAUAUCCAAGACAAACAACUUUUGUGCACUCAAGCUUGAUAUGAUGAAGGCAUAUGACAGACUAGAGUGGCCUUAUCUAAAGGCAAUUAUGGUUAAGCUUGGCUUUGCACCAGAUUGGAUCCAUACAUUUAUACCACUAAUGUUGGUGGCUCCCCCAGUGCAGUACGUAUACCUCUGA